RNAcentral lists this small RNA (68 nucleotides) under Mycolicibacterium holsaticum. Its description in RNAcentral is "Mycobacterium holsaticum ASdes TB sRNA". It matches the Rfam family "ASdes TB sRNA". The record is from Rfam by way of RNAcentral. Lineage: Bacteria; Bacillati; Actinomycetota; Actinomycetes; Mycobacteriales; Mycobacteriaceae.
AGUUGCACCGGAUCGAUCGAGCGGGUAACGACCAGAUAGUCGCGAAGGGCGAUGCCGUGGCGGUUCUC